CGGCGUGCUUACACAUGCAGUCGAACGAUGAACCGCUUUCGGGCGGGGAUUAGUGGCGAACGGGUGAGUAACACGUGGGCAAUCUGCCCUGCACUCUGGGACAAGCCCUGGAAACGGGGUCUAAUACCGGAUAUGACCGUCUGCCGCAUGGUGGAUGGUGUAAAGCUCCGGCGGUGCAGGAUGAGCCCGCGGCCUAUCAGCUUGUUGGUGAGGUAGUGGCUCACCAAGGCGACGACGGGUAGCCGGCCUGAGAGGGCGACCGGCCACACUGGGACUGAGACACGGCCCAGACUCCUACGGGAGGCAGCAGUGGGGAAUAUUGCACAAUGGGCGAAAGCCUGAUGCAGCGACGCCGCGUGAGGGAUGACGGCCUUCGGGUUGUAAACCUCUUUCAGCAGGGAAGAAGCGAAAGUGACGGUACCUGCAGAAGAAGCGCCGGCUAACUACGUGCCAGCAGCCGCGGUAAUACGUAGGGCGCAAGCGUUGUCCGGAAUUAUUGGGCGUAAAGAGCUCGUAGGCGGCUUGUCACGUCGGUUGUGAAAGCCCGGGGCUUAACCCCGGGUCUGCAGUCGAUACGGGCAGGCUAGAGUUCGGUAGGGGAGAUCGGAAUUCCUGGUGUAGCGGUGAAAUGCGCAGAUAUCAGGAGGAACACCGGUGGCGAAGGCGGAUCUCUGGGCCGAUACUGACGCUGAGGAGCGAAAGCGUGGGGAGCGAACAGGAUUAGAUACCCUGGUAGUCCACGCCGUAAACGGUGGGCACUAGGUGUGGGCAACAUUCCACGUUGUCCGUGCCGCAGCUAA
Molecule: ribosomal RNA, 800 nt
Filed under: Streptomyces sp. D139
Lineage: Bacteria; Bacillati; Actinomycetota; Actinomycetes; Kitasatosporales; Streptomycetaceae
Description: bacterial SSU rRNA
Rfam family: Bacterial small subunit ribosomal RNA
Source: RNAcentral